AGGACGAACGCUGGCGGCGUGCUUAACACAUGCAAGUCGAGCGGAAAGGCCCUUCGGGGUACUCGAGCGGCGAACGGGUGAGUAACACGUGAGUAAUCUGCCCCUAGCUCUGGGAUAGCUCCGGGAAACCGGGAUUAAUACCAGAUACGACCACUUUAGACAUCUUCUGUGGUGGAAAGAACUUCGGCUAGGGAUGAACUCGCGGCCUAUCAGCUUGUUGGUGAGGUAACGGCUCACCAAGGCGACGACGGGUAGCCGGCCUGAGAGGGCGACCGGCCACACUGGGACUGAGACACGGCCCAGACUCCUACGGGAGGCAGCAGUGGGGAAUAUUGCGCAAUGGGCGAAAGCCUGACGCAGCGACGCCGCGUGGGGGAUGAAGGCCUUCGGGUUGUAAACCCCUUUCAGCAGGGACGAAGCGAAAGUGACGGUACCUGCAGAAGAAGCGCCGACUAACUACGUGCCAGCAGCCGC
RNAcentral lists this ribosomal RNA (474 nucleotides) under uncultured bacterium. RNAcentral describes it as "SSU rRNA". It matches the Rfam family "Bacterial small subunit ribosomal RNA", at positions 26 to 518 of the family's 1533-position model. The record is from RNAcentral.